GGAAACUGGGUCUAAUACCGGAUAGGAGCGUCCACCGCAUGGUGGGUGUUGGAAAGAUUUAUCGGUUUUGGAUGGACUCGCGGCCUAUCAGCUUGUUGGUGAGGUAAUGGCUCACCAAGGCGACGACGGGUAGCCGGCCUGAGAGGUGACCGGCUCUACUGGGACUGAGACACGGCCCAUCUUCAUACGGGAGGCAGCAGUGGGGAAUAUUGCACAAUGGGCGCAAGCCUGAUGCAGCGACGCCGCGUGAGGGAUGACGGCCUUCGGGUUGUAAACCUCUUUCAGUAGGGAAGAAGCGAAAGUGACGGUACCUGCAGAAGAAGCACCGGCUAACUACGUGCCAGCAGCCGCGGUAAUACGUAGGGUGCGAGCUUAUCCGGAAUUAUUGGGCGUAAAGAGCUCGUAGGCGGUUUGUCGCGUCUGUCGUGAAAGUCCGGGGCUUAACCCCGGAUCUGCGGUGGGUACGGGCAGACUAGAGUGCAGUAGGGGAGACUGGAAUUCCUGGUGUAGCGGUGGAAUGCGCAGAUAUCAGGAGGAACACCGAUGGCGAAGCAGGUCUCUGGGCUGUAACUGACGCUGAGGAGCGAAAGCAUGGGGAGCGAACAGGAUUAGAUACCCUGGUAGUCCAUGCCGUAAACGUUGGGCACUAGGUGUGGGACCAUUCCACGGUUUCCGCGCCGCAGCUAACGCAUUAAGUGCCCCGCCUGGGGAGUACGGCCGCAAGGCUAAAACUCAAAGGAAUUGACGGGGGCCCGCCAAGCGGCGGAGCAUGG
This 773-nucleotide ribosomal RNA is filed under the name Micrococcus luteus. Its description in RNAcentral is "bacterial SSU rRNA". It matches the Rfam family "Bacterial small subunit ribosomal RNA", at positions 152 to 942 of the family's 1533-position model. Lineage: Bacteria; Bacillati; Actinomycetota; Actinomycetes; Micrococcales; Micrococcaceae. The record is from RNAcentral.